GCUCCCUCCGCGCCACUCAGACGUCCUACGGAGGGCAGCAGUGGGGAAUUUUGCGCAAUGGGGGAAACCCUGACGCAGCAACGCCGCGUGGAGGAUGAAGUCCCUUGGGAUGUAAACUCCUUUCGAUCGGGACGAUUAUGACGGUACCGGAACGAACGAAGCACCGGCUAACUCUCGUGCAGCCGCCGCGGUAAUAC
RNAcentral lists this ribosomal RNA (197 nucleotides) under uncultured bacterium. RNAcentral describes it as "partial 16S ribosomal RNA". It matches the Rfam family "Bacterial small subunit ribosomal RNA", at positions 298 to 526 of the family's 1533-position model. The record is from RNAcentral.